GGAUCACACUUGUCUGAUAAGUGUUCAGUGAGUUUACCAAUCCAGAAUUGAGGAUGACAGAAUUGAAGAACUCCAUGAAUCUUUUACAUUUCAUCUAACCUUCCCUUAUCAUAUGAAGUUUAGUACCACAAAGGUUUUAUCCAGAG
This is a long non-coding RNA of Pteropus alecto (black flying fox), 146 nucleotides long. RefSeq lists it as uncharacterized. The transcript has 3 exons. The record is from RefSeq and is a predicted model, not a curated record. NCBI's taxonomy places the organism in Eukaryota, Metazoa, Chordata, Mammalia, Chiroptera, Pteropodidae.